Molecule: long non-coding RNA, 371 nt
Filed under: Gossypium barbadense (sea-island cotton)
Lineage: Eukaryota; Viridiplantae; Streptophyta; Magnoliopsida; Malvales; Malvaceae
Description: long non-coding RNA (GBAR_LNC019592)
Source: RNAcentral
UUUUCUUUCUAUUUUCAUUCCUCACCAAUCCAAUAAUGAUUGCAAAGAACGAAAACAAUUUUGUCAAUUAGUGGAAGCCAACACCCCAAAUACAUCCAACCAUCAUCCGCCACCUUAACGAUAGUUUAUUGACUGAAACCCAAAAAGCAAAUCAAUAACUCUUAACUACAUUUAUUUAUGUAAUUAGGAAUGAUGUUUGUAAACAUGGUUUAGAACUUGUAAGUUUGUAUAAUUGUACAAAGGGUUUGGCUUAGACGACAAUUCAUUACUUAUACUUUAUGGCUUUUAGGUUCAUUUAAUUCAAAAUUGCAUCUACAUCAUAUUGUUUGACUUAAAUUGAAUCAAUUUUAGUUAAAACAAAACAAAAAAAG